This 403-nucleotide ribosomal RNA is filed under the name uncultured bacterium. Its description in RNAcentral is "partial 16S ribosomal RNA". It matches the Rfam family "Bacterial small subunit ribosomal RNA", at positions 30 to 526 of the family's 1533-position model. The record is from RNAcentral.
AUUGAACGCUGGCGGCAGGCCUAACACAUGCAAGUCGAGCGAGCGGCGGACGGGUGAGUAAUGUAUGGGGACUGCCUGAUGGCGGGGGAUAACUACUGGAAACGGUAGCUAAUACCGCAUACUAUCGGAUAACCCAUAUGGGAUUAGCUAGUAGGUGAGGUAAAGGCUUACCUAGGCGACGAUCCCUAGCUGGUCUGAGAGGAUGAUCAGCCACACUGGGACUGAGACACGGCCCAGACUCCUACGGUGGCAGCAGUGGGGAAGAGUGCACAAUGGGCGCAAGCCUGAUGCAGCCAUGCCGCGUGUAUGAAGAAGGCCUUCGGGUUGUAAAGUACUUUCAGUCGGGAGGCGUUACCGACAGAAGAAGCACCGGCUAACUCCGUGCCAGCAGCCGCGGUAAUAC